RNAcentral lists this ribosomal RNA (497 nucleotides) under uncultured bacterium. RNAcentral's name for it is "partial 16S ribosomal RNA". It matches the Rfam family "Bacterial small subunit ribosomal RNA", at positions 28 to 507 of the family's 1533-position model. The record is from RNAcentral.
GAUGAACGCUGGCGGCGUGCCUAAUACAUGCAAGUCGAGCGAACAGACGAGGAGCUUGCUCCUCUGACGUUAGCGGCGGACGGGUGAGUAACACGUGUAUAACCUACCUAUAAGACUGGGAUAACUUCGGGAAACCGGAGCUAAUACCGGAUAAUAUAUUGAACCGCAUGGUUCAAUAGUGAAAUACGGUUGUGCGGUCACUUAUAGAUGGAUCCGCGCCGCAUUAGCUAGUUGGUAAGGUAACGGCUUACCAAGGCAACGAUGCGUAGCCGACCUGAGAGGGUGAUCGGCCACACUGGAACUGAGACACGGUCCAGACUACUACGGGAGGCAGCAGUAGGGAAUCUUCCGCAAUGGGCGAAAGCCUGACGGAGCAACGCCGCGUGAGUGAUGAAGGUCUUCGGAUCGUAAAACUCUGUUAUUAGGGAAGAACAAAUGUGUAAGUAACUAUGCACGUCUUGACGGUACCUAAUCAGAAAGCAACGGCUAACUACGUG